GACGAACGCUGGCGGCGUGCUUAACACAUGCAAGUCGAACGGAAAGGCCCUGCUUUUGUGGGGUGCUCGAGUGGCGAACGGGUGAGUAACACGUGAGUAACCUGCCCUUGACUUUGGGAUAACUUCAGGAAACUGGGGCUAAUACCGGAUAGGAGCUCCUGCUGCAUGGUGGGGGUUGGAAAGUUUCGGCGGUUGGGGAUGGACUCGCGGCUUAUCAGCUUGUUGGUGGGGUAGUGGCUUACCAAGGCUUUGACGGGUAGCCGGCCUGAGAGGGUGACCGGCCACAUUGGGACUGAGAUACGGCCCAGACUCCUACGGGAGGCAGCAGUGGGGAAUAUUGCACAAUGGGCGGAAGCCUGAUGCAGCAACGCCGCGUGCGGGAUGACGGCCUUCGGGUUGUAAACCGCUUUCGCCUGUGACGAAGCGUGAGUGACGGUAAUGGGUAAAGAAGCACCGGCUAACUACGUGCCAGCAGCCGCGGUGAUACGUAGGGUGCGAGCGUUGUCCGGAUUUAUUGGGCGUAAAGGGCUCGUAGGUGGUUGAUCGCGUCGGAAGUGUAAUCUUGGGGCUUAACCCUGAGCGUGCUUUCGAUACGGGUUGACUUGAGGAAGGUAGGGGAGAAUGGAAUUCCUGGUGGAGCGGUGGAAUGCGCAGAUAUCAGGAGGAACACCAGUGGCGAAGGCGGUUCUCUGGGCCUCUCCUGACGCUGAGGAGCGAAAGCGUGGGGAGCGAACAGGCUUAGAUACCCUGGUAGUCCACGCUGUAAACGGUGGGUACUAGGUGUGGGGUCCAUUCCACGGGUUCCGUGCCGUAGCUAACGCUUUAAGUACCCCGCCUGGGGAGUACGGCCGCAAGGCUAAAACUCAAAGGAAUUGACGGGGCCCCGCACAAGCGGCGGAGCAUGCGGAUUAAUUCGAUGCAACGCGUAGAACCUUACCUGGGUUUGACAUGGAUCGGGAGCGCUCAGAGAUGGGUGUGCCUCUUUUGGGGUCGGUUCACAGGUGGUGCAUGGCUGUCGUCAGCUCGUGUCGUGAGAUGUUGGGUUAAGUCCCGCAACGAGCGCAACCCUUGUUCACUGUUGCCAGCACGUUAUGGUGGGGACUCAGUGGAGACCGCCGGGGUCAACUCGGAGGAAGGUGGGGGUGACGUCAAGUCAUCAUGCCCCUUAUGUCCAGGGCUUCACGCAUGCUACAAUGGCUGGUACAGAGAGUGGCGAGCCUGUGAGGGUGAGCGAAUCUCGGAAAGCCGGUCUCAGUUCGGAUUGGGGUCUGCAACUCGACCUCAUGAAGUCGGAGUCGCUAGUAAUCGCAGAUCAGCAACGCUGCGGUGAAUACGUUCCCGGG
Molecule: ribosomal RNA, 1343 nt
Filed under: uncultured bacterium
Lineage: Bacteria
Description: 16S ribosomal RNA
Rfam family: Bacterial small subunit ribosomal RNA
Source: RNAcentral